Molecule: ribosomal RNA, 468 nt
Filed under: uncultured bacterium
Lineage: Bacteria
Description: partial 16S ribosomal RNA
Rfam family: Bacterial small subunit ribosomal RNA
Source: RNAcentral
GACGAACGCUGGCGGCGUGCUUAACACAUGCAAGUCGAACGGAAAGGCCCUGCUUUUGUGGGGUGCUCGAGUGGCGAACGGGUGAGUAACACGUGAGUAACCUGCCCUUGACUUUGGGAUAACUUCAGGAAACUGGGGCUAAUACCGGAUAGGAGCUCCUGCUGCAUGGUGGGGGUUGGAAAGUUUCGGCGGUUGGGGAUGGACUCGCGGCUUAUCAGCUUGUUGGUGGGGUAGUGGCUUACCAAGGCUUUGACGGGUAGCCGGCCUGGGAGGGUGACCGGCCACAUUGGGACUGAGAUACGGAGCAGACUCCUACGGGAGGCAGCAGUGGGGAAUAUUGCACAAUGGGCGGAAGCCUGAUGCAGCAACGCCGCGUGCGGGAUGACGGCCUUCGGGUUGUAAACCGCUUUCGCCUGUGACGAAGCGUGAGUGACGGUAAUGGGUAAAGAAGCACCGGCUAACUACGUG